GACGAACGCUGGCGGCGUGCUUAACACAUGCAAGUCGAACGGUAAGGCCCUUCGGGGUACACGAGUGGCGAACGGGUGAGUAACACGUGGGUGAUCUGCCCUGCACCUCGGGAUAAGCCUGGGAAACUGGGUCUAAUACCGGAUAGGACCACUGCCUGCAUGGGUGGUGGUGGAAAGCUUUUGCGGCGUGGGAUGGGCCCGCGGCCUAUCAGCUUGUUGGUGGGGUGAUGGCCUACCAAGGCGACGACGGGUAGCCGGCCUGAGAGGGGGACCGGCCACACUGGGACUGAGGUACGGCCCAGACUCCUACGGGAGGCAGCAGUGGGGAAUAUUGCACAAUGCGCGCAAGCCUGAUGCAGCGACGCCGCGUGAGGGAUGACGGCCUUCGGGUUGUAAACCUCUUUCAGCACCGACGAAGCGCAAGUGACGGUAGGUGCAGAAGAAGGACCGGCCAACUACGUGCCAGCCGCCGCAGUAA
Molecule: ribosomal RNA, 478 nt
Filed under: uncultured bacterium
Lineage: Bacteria
Description: partial 16S ribosomal RNA
Rfam family: Bacterial small subunit ribosomal RNA
Source: RNAcentral